UGCCACCAUCUGAAAUUUUGUCUAGUCUACUGACAACUCUAUCAAUUAGUUCAUUGACUUGGCAAUUGGUUAUUUUUGACACAGCUUCAAAAAAGCAAGCAUUCUUUCGAAUUGCAGCUUCCUUUUCCUUUUCUUUCCUUGCUUCAUUUGUCCUAUUAGAUGAGGAACAACCUGGCCCGCUAUUGCUCCUCUUUUCACUCUUGCAUUUUUCUUCCUUCAGAGUUUGGAUUUGAUGUAAGAUUGGUAAUUUGCCUUUCCUAUUUUCAAUAAGCUCUACCAACCCUGAUCCUCCUCCUUUGUCCUUGUUUAGUUUCUCUUUUCCAUCUACUUUGACUUCAGUCACAUUCUUUCCUUCAUCUUUGGACUUAUGUGCAUUAUUUAACCCCUCAUGCACGUAUGUUGAAGAAGCUUCGAGUUCCCCUAUUACAUGUGAAGAAAUUGCAAGACCACAUUCAGUGGUAUUCAUUUGGACUCCCUCUCCACUCAGACUUGAUUUGGAGUUGGCGGGUGAAUCUGAAUCCAUUGAGUUCAACUGCAAAAAAUUUUUAACUGAAAUGAUUGACAUUGGUUUGGAUAACUCGUUUCUAUCAUUUAAAUGAACAUCUAAAAGCAGUGUGUUCACAUAAACAGAAAAGCUUAUGUCUUCAAUGAACAAGUCGUCCAAAAUCAUUUUCUGAUAAAAGUCCUUGCUCAUCAACCAAUGAUCAAACUUUCCUUCACCUCCUGUGAUGAUAUUUAUUGUUGAACUCCAGGGAUUCUUAAUGAAAUCUGAAAAGGUGAACUCUGAUCCCACUUUAAAUUUGAUCAACACCUCAGACAACUCAGAAACAAUCUUAGCUUCAACCAUGCUUAGAUUGAAGUCAGAUAGUUGCCUCAAUUUUGCUAGAGCCGACUCAAUGUCUGGUUUUUUGAGGCAUAUCAAGUAGGAAAAGACCUUUUCUAUUACCCAAGUUCUCACUCGGCAUUUGAUUCCUCUAAUUCUACCAUUUGCUGAAAAGAAUCUUUCCACUUUCUUGGGAUUGACUAAGUUAAAGUCCUUAAAGACUCUGGUGCACUCAGUCGUCAAAUUUCCUUGCACACAAGAGAAUAAAUGAUGGGCUCCAUAGGUGCAUAACUUAGUUAUUUUAUAAUUCAGAAAGAGUGUUCCCUGUUCGGCUCUAUCCACAUGGAUGUUUAAUCCACCAGCAUUCAUGAACCAAUUGUUUGAGGCAUCUUGGAUGUAGGGUUCAGAACCCUUUCCAUCAGGGUAAAAGAACAUGUUCCCACCUCGAAUCUCAAAUGAAUAAGCUAUUGUGUUC
RNAcentral lists this unclassified non-coding RNA (1298 nucleotides) under Hevea brasiliensis (rubber tree). Lineage: Eukaryota; Viridiplantae; Streptophyta; Magnoliopsida; Malpighiales; Euphorbiaceae. The record is from RNAcentral.